CCUGCUCCGCUUCUGUGACUUUUUAAAUUGAAUGUGAUCAUUAACUUUUACCCAUGAAUAUAAAAAUGGAGCAGUUUUUCAACUACUCAUGAAAGAUUAUCCAUGAACGCUAAGAUUAUUUAAUUUUUCAUGGAGCGUAGAAUUCUGUGAAUCACUUCAUACAUAGGCUACUUAGUCAAAAGUCAAAUCUGUAAUUUCAUUUUCAAAUUUAAUUCUCUCUGGUUGCUAAAUCUUUACCUAGGUUGUGAGGGAACAUUUCAGAUAAUACAAGAUUCGGUGAAGAAAAAAUAUUAGUAUUUCUUCUGAGAAUUUUUCUUAAUGAAUUGUAAGUUACUGACCUUUCAAAAUAGAGAAAUUUAUGUUAUUUAAAAAUUUUUUUUUGUAAAAUUUUAUUUCUCUUCUUUCUUAAAAAAUACGUAAAAUAGGUUGGGCGUGAUGGCUCACACCUGUAAUCCAGGCACUUUGGGAGGCCAAGGUGGGCAGAUCACGAGGUCAAGAGAUCGAGACCACUCUGGCUAACAUGGUGAAACCCCAUCUUUACUGAAAAUACAAAAAGCCAGCUGUGGUGGCAUGCACCUGUAAUUCCAGCUACUCAGGAGGCUAAGGCAGGAGAAUCACUUCAACUUGGAGGCGGAGGAUCUUGCCACUGCACUCAUGAACUACAGAGAAAGCACCAGCUCUACUCCUUGAAGAAUAAAGCAUUGCAAAUUGCAGAAAUGAGAGUUGAAAUCAAAUGAUUGAAGUGAAUCCUAUUUUGAUCACUUUUUAGCUAAAUUGAAGAAUUCAGUAAGUAUUCAGAUCUCAGUUAACAUGUAGGAAAAAAACAAGUGUCUUUCUUUUAGAUUUGCAGAAUGGUUUAGAAAUGUAAUGUUUAAAUCUGUGUAUGAUGCUAGCCACAAAAUCUGCUAUCAGAAAAUAUGUUUCCUUUUUUUGUUUAGUGAUAACAAAAGAA
RNAcentral lists this long non-coding RNA (952 nucleotides) under Callithrix jacchus (white-tufted-ear marmoset). Its description in RNAcentral is "lncRNA (ENSCJAG00000084620.1)". Lineage: Eukaryota; Metazoa; Chordata; Mammalia; Primates; Cebidae. The record is from RNAcentral.